UAUUGUGGACUUUUGAAUAGGUCUGGGGCUUGGCUCGAUUUGCCGGUCGUGUCUGCUUGACGUGCGUCUCCCCUUUUUGGGGUUGGUGGGUUUGGGUGCUGGUGGGUGAUGGAGGAGGGAUAGGGGUUGGAGCGAGCGUAGGGGGGUGUAGGGCGUGUUUGGGUGCGGAGGGUGGGACCUAUUAGGUACCACUAGGGGAGGUGGAAGAAGGUGACGACGGCGGCGGCCGUCGGCUUGGAGACCCCUAGGGGAGAUGAAGGAAGACUGGGCCGCGCGGUGACGGAACGGGUCAGGGUUAUGUGGCGAGAGGCGGCGGUGACCUUGGAUGACGGCCGGUGGAAGUCUAGGCCGCUAGGGGCCGCUGUGCUGGGCGGGUGGUGGAAGAGGGCAUACGCCUAGGCAACCUAGAGCCCGAGGUGAGGGAAGGGGGUUGGAGACGUGCCGCGCCCACCGGCCACCACCCCUCCCGGUCGGUGGCACGGGAUUUUCCUCGAGUGGUGACUCCGUCGCGCUAAGUAGGAAGCCGGCCCGGCUGGCCUACACGCAGCGGAAGGAUAGAAGGUGAAGACGUCCACUGGUGACCGGUGGGGAGCGGGCGACCUAGGCCGGUAGUAGAGGUACCCCCCACCCACACGUCCGCUGAUCGCCUAAGCGGCCUCUUGUGGUGCUGCUCGUCUUUUCUCCCGGAGGUGGGGGUCGGGGUACGUUAAGCGGACUACGCGGGUACGUCACGCCUAUCGGAAGACGAAGGAGGAGGGGUACAGGCCCGUGGGGGCGAUGGGAGCGUCCCAUCAUACUCGCGACCGGCGGUGCGAGGGGACAGGAGGCUGGAGAGAGACGGUUGCAGGGAAACGAGUUGAGGGCCGCUCCAGGGUCCACGGGCGUCCUACUUCAUGUCUGUUGCUGUGGCACGUCAAGAAAUGUAGAGGGGAACAUUAAAACACUCGACGUCAUUCCUUAGCUACAAGCCGAGCUAGGGGACUAAAACCUAUACACGCCUGCACGUCAUGUCAAGGGUACUCUGCGUCGAACAAAAGCGGGUUCCAGCUACUAGUAGUCCCGCUCUUCCUUUUCGCCCUCCUCAGGAUCGGUGGGGAGUGAUGUCUAGCACCUCGGUACCAGCUCGUCAGCUCAGACGGACAACAACGUCAGGCAGGGUGCCCGUGGACGUUAUACGUAGCGGGGGUGGACACAAUUCGAACCCGAGGGGAACCUAGCUCAACGGUGGCCGCUCCAAAGAAGGUCUACGUCACGCCGUUGCGCCUUCGCACGCCAAGGUACCGUUAGAAAUACGUCAAACUAAGUUAGAGGAUAUUGGAAGGUGUGGGGGAGCAGGCAGGGACCUCGUCGCGCCCAACCCACCACGUCACGUGACCCUGAGGCGCACGUCACGUAUUCACGUAUUCUGUUGUACGCCAAAAGCUAUUAAAACGUGAGCCAACCUCCGCGCCCUCGCACCUAUACGUGAAUACGUGUUGGCACGGGGAGCAACCCUAAAAAAACGGACUCUCCUGUUUCUGUUGCACGCCAAAAGCUAUUAAAUACAUAUUUUCAAUACACCUGAGCAAACUUUUAACAAAUGUUUUCUUCGAGUAAAGCUCAACACAACGCCGAGUAAAGGGAGC
This 1625-nucleotide ribosomal RNA is filed under the name Triticum aestivum (bread wheat). Its description in RNAcentral is "partial small subunit ribosomal RNA". Lineage: Eukaryota; Viridiplantae; Streptophyta; Magnoliopsida; Poales; Poaceae. The record is from RNAcentral.